AACGAACGCUGGCGGCAGGCCUAACACAUGCAAGUCGAACGCCGUAGCAAUACGGAGUGGCAGACGGGUGAGUAACACGUGGGAACGUACCUUUCGGUUCGGAAUAACUCAGGGAAACUUGAGCUAAUACCGGAUACGUGCGAGAGCAGAAAGAUUUAUCGCCGAAAGAUCGGCCCGCGUCCGAUUAGCUUGUUGGUGAGGUAAUGGCUCACCAAGGCGACGAUCGGUAGCUGGUCUGAGAGGAUGAUCAGCCACACUGGGACUGAGACACGGCCCAGACUCCUACGGGAGGCAGCAGUGGGGAAUAUUGGACAAUGGGCGAAAGCCUGAUCCAGCCAUGCUGCGUGAGUGAUGAAGGCCUUAGGGUUGUAAAGCUCUUUUGUCCGGGAAGAUAAUGACGGUACCGGAAGAAUAAGCCCCGGCUAACUUCGUGCCAGCAGCCGCGGUAAGGAGCUGUCGU
RNAcentral lists this ribosomal RNA (460 nucleotides) under uncultured bacterium. RNAcentral describes it as "bacterial SSU rRNA". It matches the Rfam family "Bacterial small subunit ribosomal RNA", at positions 29 to 541 of the family's 1533-position model. The record is from RNAcentral.